CCAAUGGGGUUUUCCCAGCAAGUGGCUCUCCCCAAGCACUGUCCAGGUGCAGUGGAGUAUUGGGCUCUGCUCCGUGAUGUAUAAUAUAGUCCCUUUUCACAACACUGGAAAUCAAGCGAAGCCUCAAUCUGUGCCUGCAUGUUUCUACAGCCUCUCAGGGUACUCUGGCCUAUGAUUGAGUGACAAACCAUGCAGGAAACAGUA
This is a small nucleolar RNA of Suncus etruscus (white-toothed pygmy shrew), 204 nucleotides long. RefSeq annotates it as small nucleolar RNA SNORA73 family. The record is from RefSeq and is a predicted model, not a curated record. NCBI's taxonomy places the organism in Eukaryota, Metazoa, Chordata, Mammalia, Eulipotyphla, Soricidae. The transcript has a single exon.